CGACGCCGCGUGGGGAGUGAAGCUUUUCGGUAGUGUAAACCCCUUUCCGACCCGGACGAAUGCCCCGCCAAGGGGACUGACGGUACGGGUAUAAGAAGCCCCGGCUAACUACGUGC
This 116-nucleotide ribosomal RNA is filed under the name uncultured bacterium. Its description in RNAcentral is "partial 16S ribosomal RNA". It matches the Rfam family "Bacterial small subunit ribosomal RNA", at positions 392 to 508 of the family's 1533-position model. The record is from RNAcentral.